UCUCAACAGAGACAUCAUAAAAGCUUCACUGUUUAAGACCUGCUCACAGACUCCUGCUGCUGAGUUUAAUAGCAAAGAAAAUGAAAGCUCCGAUCGUCUUCCUGCUCUCGGCUCUUGUCGUGGUCGGGCUCAAAGCGACGACCCCUGAUUCUCCAGGGCAACGUCCAGUCAUCCCAGGAGACGUGGCCGUUCCACAAAUUCUGGGAGUUAGUUUGGAAGAGAUCAUAAGGAGCAAACCAAGCUCUGCGGAUGGAAACGGAGAAGACGAAUCGGGAACAACUCCGAAAACCUAAAAAUCUGACCUGAAAAAAUGAAAAAGAAAUAAACACAAGAGGAUAAAAAGCGUGACAGUCGUCUUUAUUAGAGGAUAAUAUUUUCAGUUUGUGGAUAUGACUUUUCGUUGGUUUUAUGGAGGUGGUUUAAUCAAAUGCAUCCAUGUUUAAUUAGCUAAUAUAUAUGUUAUGUUUUGUUAUUGUUUCAUAUCAUGUAGUGUGGCUCCAUCAAUACAAUCUGCCAUAAAUAA
This is a long non-coding RNA of Acanthopagrus latus (yellowfin seabream), 523 nucleotides long. RefSeq lists it as uncharacterized. Lineage: Eukaryota; Metazoa; Chordata; Actinopteri; Spariformes; Sparidae. The record is from RefSeq and is a predicted model, not a curated record. The transcript is spliced from 4 exons.